Molecule: ribosomal RNA, 700 nt
Filed under: uncultured bacterium
Lineage: Bacteria
Description: bacterial SSU rRNA
Rfam family: Bacterial small subunit ribosomal RNA
Source: RNAcentral
UCAGGCCUAACACAUGCAAGUCGAACGGUAACUUUUGGUGCUUGCACCGAAAGACGAGUGGCGAACGGGUGCGUAACGCGUAUGCAAUCUGCCUUUUACUAGGGUAUAGCCCAGAGAAAUUUGGAUUAAUCCCCUAUAAUAUCAUUUAAUCGCAUGAUUUUAUGAUUAAAGCUUCGGCGGUAAAAGAUGAGCAUGCGUCCUAUUAGUUAGUAGGUGAGGUAACGGCUCACCUAGACUCCGAUAGGUAGGGGUCCUGAGAGGGAGAUCCCCCACACUGGUACUGAGACACGGACCAGACUCCUACGGGAGGCAGCAGUGAGGAAUAUUGGACAAUGGACGAAAGUCUGAUCCAGCUAUGCCGCGUGCAGGAUGACGGCCCUAUGGGUUGUAAACUGCUUUUAUACGGGAAGAAAAACACCGACGUGUCGGAACUUGACGGUACUGUAAGAAUAAGAUCGGCUAACUCCGUGCCAGCAGCCGCGGUAAUACGGAGGAUCCAAGCGUUAUCCGGAAUCAUUGGGUUUAAAGGGUCCGUAGGCGGUUUUUUAAGUCAGAGGUGAAAUCCUGCAGCUCAACUGUAGAAUUGCCUCUGAUACUGAAAGACUUGAGUUAUUGUGAAGUGGUUAGAAUGUGUGGUGUAGCGGUGAAAUGCAUAGAUAUCACACAGAAUACCAAUUGCGAGGCAGAUCACUAACAAUAU